GAUGAACGCUGGCGGCGUGCCUAAUACAUGCAAGUCGAGCGAACGGACGAGAAGCUUGCUUCUCUGAUGUUAGCGGCGGACGGGUGAGUAACACGUGGAUAACCUACCUAUAAGACUGGGAUAACUUCGGGAAACCGGAGCUAAUACCGGAUAAUAUUUUGAACCGCAUGGUUCAAAAGUGAAAGACGGUCUUGCUGUCACUUAUAGAUGGAUCCGCGCUGCAUUAGCUAGUUGGUAAGGUAACGGCUUACCAAGGCAACGAUGCAUAGCCAACCUGAGAGGGUGAUCGGCCACACUGGAACUGAGACACGGUCCAGACUCCUACGGGAGGCAGCAGUAGGGAAUCUUCCGCAAUGGGCGAAAGCCUGACGGAGCAAAGCCGCGUGAGUGAUGAAGGUCUUCGGAUCGUAAAACUCUGUUAUUAGGGAAGAACAUAUGUGUAAGUAACUGUGCACAUCUUGACGGUACCUAAUCAGAAAGCCACGGCUAACUACGUG
RNAcentral lists this ribosomal RNA (497 nucleotides) under uncultured bacterium. RNAcentral describes it as "partial 16S ribosomal RNA". It matches the Rfam family "Bacterial small subunit ribosomal RNA", at positions 28 to 507 of the family's 1533-position model. The record is from RNAcentral.